This is a long non-coding RNA of Ruditapes philippinarum (Manila clam), 576 nucleotides long. RefSeq lists it as uncharacterized. NCBI's taxonomy places the organism in Eukaryota, Metazoa, Mollusca, Bivalvia, Venerida, Veneridae. The transcript has 2 exons. The record is from RefSeq and is a predicted model, not a curated record.
UUUUAAAAUUUUUUUUUUAGGAAAUGCGCAGUGUUUAGUUGAUGUGGGAUUUGCACAUCUUAAGAUUAAAUUCCGUAGACAUGAUUUAGAAAAACAACAACAUCUAGCCGAUGUUACAGAGAAAUCGUCUACAACCAGCAGAGCUGUGGUCAAGGCAGCAAUGGAAACUCAUUCUAGAUAUUUUUCAAGUAUAAGAAAAUUCCAUCACAUUCGGCUCCAGACAGACACACAGGGUGCAAUGAUGGCCAGAAUAACACCCGAAAGCGAGAAACAGUUGAUUCAAGUCUCGCAGUAACCAGGAUUACGUUUCAGUUCAGGUGUACGUCCAUGAAUUAUUACGCCUGCGGGUUUCAAAAAAGCGCAAUAGAUAUUUGGUACAAAGCGUGCGAGCGUUUCUUAGUCAAGACAAUCAGUCAUAUUAUCAGUAAUCUAGGUGCACUGUUAUAACAGUUUAGUGCAUAAACAUAUUUCAAACUACUUCAUGUUCAUCAUACAGCAUUAUUGAAUUGUUUUACAAUUUUCUACUCUGUUUUGUUCUUAAGAAAUAAAAAAGUAAACGUAGAAUUUUGAAAUUAA